UUGUUGAUCAUCGGCGCGAGAAGAGUCUAGGGUUGCAGAUAGUGAAUCUGAUGAGAGUUGAGCCAUUAUUUGUUGAUUGAUCAAUCAAUCCCAGGGCUUUGUUUUCAGUUUUACUGAAAUUCAGGUGGAUCUGAUCUAGUAUUUUGGGUAAAUUUUUUCUUUCUUGUCACCAUCUCGUUUACAGUCACUGGAUUGGAAUUGUCAGUUAAGAUCUUCCGGAGUUCCUUGGCCCAUCAGAAUUCUGAACUUAAAGAUUUGGAACUUUUGCAAUCGAUACAUCCGAAGCUCUGGAGACCCAUUAUUUUACACAGGUGCAUGAUUGUAAAGCUCUUACAACCUUUUGAUGGCCGCUUGAAUAGUCAAGCCACUUUUCUAAUCCACUGGAGGAUUACCGAACGGAUUACACAGGGG
Molecule: long non-coding RNA, 411 nt
Filed under: Panax ginseng (ginseng)
Lineage: Eukaryota; Viridiplantae; Streptophyta; Magnoliopsida; Apiales; Araliaceae
Description: long non-coding RNA (PGIN_LNC007681)
Source: RNAcentral